GACGAACGCUGGCGGCGUGCUUAACACAUGCAAGUCGAACGGAGAGGCCCUGCUUUUGUGGGGUGCUCGAGUGGCGAACGGGUGAGUAACACGUGAGUAACCUGCCCUUGACUUUGGGAUAACUUCAGGAAACUGGGGCUACUACCGGAUAGGAGCCCCUGCUGCAUGGUGGGGGUUGGAAAGUUUCGGCGGUUGGGGUUGGAUUCGCGGCUUAUCAGCUUGCUGGUGGGGGAGUGGCUUACCAAGGCUUGGACGGGUAGCCGGCCUGUGAGGGUGACCGGCCACAUUGGGACUGAGAGACGGCCCAGACUCCUACGGGAGGCAGCAGUGGGGAAUAUUGCACAAUGGGCGGAAGCCUGAUGCAGCAACGCCGCGGGCGGGAUGACGGCCUUCGGGUUGUAAACCGCUUUCGCCUGUGACGAAGCGUGAGUGACGGUAAUGGGUAAAGAAGCACCGGCUAACUACGUG
This 468-nucleotide ribosomal RNA is filed under the name uncultured bacterium. RNAcentral describes it as "partial 16S ribosomal RNA". It matches the Rfam family "Bacterial small subunit ribosomal RNA", at positions 28 to 507 of the family's 1533-position model. The record is from RNAcentral.